UACGUAGGGUGCGAGCGUUGUCCGGAAUUAUUGGGCGUAAAGGGCUCGUAGGCGGUUUGUCGCGUCGGGAGUGAAAUCCACUGGCUUAACUGGUGGCUUGCUUUCGAUACGGGCAGACUGGAGGUAUGCAGGGGAGAACGGAAUUCCUGGUGUAGCGGUGAAAUGCGCAGAUAUCAGGAGGAACACCGGUGGCGAAGGCAGGUCUCUGGGCCACUACUGACGCUGAGGCGCGAAAGCUAGGGGAGCAAACAGG
RNAcentral lists this ribosomal RNA (253 nucleotides) under uncultured bacterium. RNAcentral's name for it is "partial 16S ribosomal RNA". It matches the Rfam family "Bacterial small subunit ribosomal RNA", at positions 524 to 776 of the family's 1533-position model. The record is from RNAcentral.